RNAcentral lists this long non-coding RNA (707 nucleotides) under Manihot esculenta (cassava). RNAcentral's name for it is "long non-coding RNA (MESC_LNC008536)". The record is from RNAcentral. Lineage: Eukaryota; Viridiplantae; Streptophyta; Magnoliopsida; Malpighiales; Euphorbiaceae.
UCCAAAGCUAUUUUCAUUCAAAACUUAUUUCCUUUUCACUUAAAACCAUGAAAAACAUUAAAACAUUUUAUGAAAACAUGUUUCUACCCUACUAGAGGCUUCCGACAUCCGAGAUUCCACCGGACGGUAGGAAUUCCGAUACCGGAGUCUAGCCGGGUAUUACAGGCCUUCUAUCUACCGUAAUAUGGGAUAAACUGCCAAGUGAUCUCCGGCUGAGGACAUCUAACAUAACAUUUGCCUCACCCGGAUGAUAUUGGAUCUUGCAAUCAUAGUCACUAUGCAGUUCUACCCAUCUUCUCCGCCUUAGGUUCAACUCCUUCUGACUCAAGAUGUACUGUAAACUUUUAUGAUCUGUAAAGAUCUCACAUUUUACCCCAUGAAGGUAAUGCCUCCACAUCUUGAGUGCAAAUGUUACAACUGCCUUUUCUAGAUCAUGUGUAGGAUAAUUCAACUCAUGCUUCUUCAGCUACCUUGAAACAUUAGCAAUUACCCUGACACUUGCAUUAAUACACAAUCUAGCCCCACACGGGACGCAUCACAAAACACUGUGAAAUCUUCAUUACUGGUAGGCAGAGCCAACACUGGUGCUGACGUCAACCUUUUCUUCGGCUCUUCAAAACUCUCUUCACACUGAGCAGACCACACAACCCUCUGGUUCUUCUUGAUCCAUCUGGUCAUAGGAGCGGCAACUCUGGAGAAGUUCUGAA